Molecule: small nuclear RNA, 106 nt
Organism: Myotis lucifugus (little brown bat)
Lineage: Eukaryota; Metazoa; Chordata; Mammalia; Chiroptera; Vespertilionidae
Source: Ensembl
GUGCUCGCCUAGGCAGCACAUAUACUAAAAUUGGAAUAUACAGAGAAUAUUAGCAUGGCCCCUGCGCAAGGAUGACAUGUAAAUUCAUGAAGUGUUCCAUAUUUUU